CCUACGGGAGGCAGCAGUGGGGAAUAUUGCACAAUGGGCGAAAGCCUGAUGCAGCAACGCCGCGUGAGCGAUGAAGGCCUUCGGGGUGUAAAGCUCUGUCCUCAAGGAAGAUAAUGAAGGUACUUGAGGCGGAAGCCCCGGCUAACUACGUGCCAGCAGCCGCGGUAAUGCGCAGGGGGCUAGUGUUAUCCGGAUUUACUGGGCGUAAAGGGGGCGUGGUUGGUUUCUUAAGUCAGAGGUGAAAGGCUACGGCUCAACCGUAGUAAGCCUUUGAAACUGGGGAACUUGAGUGCAGGAGAGGAGAGUGGAAUUCCUAGUGUAGCGGUGAAAUGCGUAGAUAUUAGGAGGAACACCAGUUGCGAAGGCGGCUCUCUGGACUGUAACUGACACUGAGGCACGAAAGCGUGGGGAGCAAACAGGAUUAGAUACCCGGGUAGUC
This 439-nucleotide ribosomal RNA is filed under the name uncultured bacterium. RNAcentral's name for it is "partial 16S ribosomal RNA". It matches the Rfam family "Bacterial small subunit ribosomal RNA", at positions 338 to 795 of the family's 1533-position model. The record is from RNAcentral.